RNAcentral lists this ribosomal RNA (421 nucleotides) under uncultured bacterium. RNAcentral describes it as "bacterial SSU rRNA". It matches the Rfam family "Bacterial small subunit ribosomal RNA", at positions 60 to 470 of the family's 1533-position model. The record is from RNAcentral.
AGUCGAGGGGCAGCAUGGUCUUAGCUUGCUAAGGCCGAUGGCGACCGGCGCACGGGUGAGUAACGCGUAUCCAACCUGCCUUACACUCUUGGACAGCCUUCUGAAAGGGAGAUUAAUACAAGAUGUUAUCAUGAGUAAGCAUUUUCGCAUGAUUAAAGGUUUACCGGUGUAAGAUGGGGAUGCGUUCCAUUAGAUAGUAGGCGGGGUAACGGCCCACCUAGUCUUCGAUGGAUAGGGGUUCUGAGAGGAAGGUCCCCCACAUUGGAACUGAGACACGGUCCAAACUCCUACGGGAGGCAGCAGUGAGGAAUAUUGGUCAAUGGACGAGAGUCUGAACCAGCCAAGUAGCGUGAAGGAUGAAGGUUCUAUGGAUUGUAAACUUCUUUUAUACGGGAAUAAACGGAUCCACGUGUGGAUUUUU